RNAcentral lists this ribosomal RNA (253 nucleotides) under uncultured bacterium. RNAcentral's name for it is "partial 16S ribosomal RNA". It matches the Rfam family "Bacterial small subunit ribosomal RNA", at positions 524 to 776 of the family's 1533-position model. The record is from RNAcentral.
UACAGAGGGUGCGAGCGUUAAUCGGAAUUACUGGGCGUAAAGGGCGCGUAGGCGGCCGACCAAGUCGGAGGUGAAAUCCCUCGGCUCAACUGAGGAACUGCCUCCGAUACUGUUCGGCUUGAGUCCCGGAGAGGGUAGUGGAAUUCCGAGUGUAGCGGUGAAAUGCGUAGAGACUCGGAAGAACACCAGUGGCGAAGGCGGCUACCUGGACGGGUACUGACGCUGAAGCGCGAAAGCUAGGGGAGCAAACAGG